Molecule: ribosomal RNA, 858 nt
Filed under: Metarhizium robertsii
Lineage: Eukaryota; Fungi; Ascomycota; Sordariomycetes; Hypocreales; Clavicipitaceae
Description: partial large subunit ribosomal RNA
Rfam family: Eukaryotic large subunit ribosomal RNA
Source: RNAcentral
AGAGAAACACCAGGGAAUUGCCCCAGUAACGGCGAGUGAAGCGGCAACAGCUCAAAUUUGAAAUCUGGUCCCCAGGGCCCGAGUUGUAAUUUGCAGAGGAUGCUUUUGGUGAGGUGCCUUCCGAGUUCCCUGGAACGGGACGCCAUAGAGGGUGAGAGCCCCGUCUGGUUGGAUACCGAGCCUCUGUAAAGCUCCUUCGACGAGUCGAGUAGUUUGGGAAUGCUGCUCUAAAUGGGAGGUAUAUGUCUUCUAAAGCUAAAUAUUGGCCAGAGACCGAUAGCGCACAAGUAGAGUGAUCGAAAGAUGAAAAGCACUUUGAAAAGAGGGUUAAAUAGUACGUGAAAUUGUUGAAAGGGAAGCACUUAUGACCAGACUUGGCCCCGGUGAAUCAUCCAGCGGUUCCCGCUGGUGCACUUUGCCGGGGUUCAGGCCAGCAUCAGUUCGCUCCGGGGGAUAAAGGCUUUGGGAAUGUGGCUCCCUCGGGAGUGUUAUAGCCCAUUGCGUAAUACCCUGUGGCGGGCUGAGGUUCGCGCUUUAUGCAAGGAUGCUGGCAUAAUGGUCAUCAGUGACCCGUCUUGAAACACGGACCAAGGAGUCGUCUUCGUAUGCGAGUGUUCGGGUGUUAAACCCCUACGCGUAAUGAAAGUGAACGCAGGUGAGAGCCCUCCAGGGCGCAUCAUCGACCGAUCCUGAUGUUCUCGGAUGGAUUUGAGUAAGAGCAUACGGGGCCGGACCCGAAAGAAGGUGAACUAUGCCUGUAUAGGGUGAAGCCAGAGGAAACUCUGGUGGAGGCUCGCAGCGGUUCUGACGUGCAAAUCGAUCGUCAAUAUGGGCAUGGGGGCGAAAGACUAAUCGACC